RNAcentral lists this ribosomal RNA (460 nucleotides) under uncultured bacterium. RNAcentral describes it as "partial 16S ribosomal RNA". It matches the Rfam family "Bacterial small subunit ribosomal RNA", at positions 338 to 795 of the family's 1533-position model. The record is from RNAcentral.
CCUACGGGCGACAGCAGUGAGGAAUAUUGGUCAAUGGGCGCGAGCCUGAACCAGCCAAGUAGCGUGAAUGAUGACUGCCCUACGGGUUGUAAACUUCUUUUAUCAAGGAAUAAAGUGAGGCACGUGUGCCUUUUUGUAUGUACUUUAUGAAUAAGGAUCGGCUCACUCAGUGCCAGCAGCCGCGGUAAUACGGAGGAUCCGAGCGUUAUCCGGAUUUAUUUGGUUUAAAGGGAGCGUAGAUGGGUUGUUAAGUCAGUUGUGAAAGUUUGCGGCGCAACCGUAAAAUUGCAAUUGAUACUGGCAGUCUUGAGUACAGUUGAGGUAGGCGGAAUUCGUGGUGUAGCGGUGAAAUGCUUAGAGAUCACGAAGAACUCCGAUUGCGAAGGCAGAUUACUAAACUGCCACUGACAUUGAUGCUCGAAAGUGUGGGUAUCAAACAGGAUUAGAUACCCUUGUAGUC